This 788-nucleotide ribosomal RNA is filed under the name uncultured bacterium. Its description in RNAcentral is "bacterial SSU rRNA". It matches the Rfam family "Bacterial small subunit ribosomal RNA", at positions 8 to 796 of the family's 1533-position model. The record is from RNAcentral.
AGAGUUUGAUCAUGGCUCAGGAUGAACGCUGGCGGCGUGCUUAACACAUGCAAGUCGAACGAAGCGCUAUUGCUUGAUUCUUCGGAUGAAGGCGAUGGUGACUUAGUGGCGGACGGGUGAGUAACGCGUGGGUAACCUGCCCUGUACAGGGGGACAACAGCUGGAAACGGCUGCUAAUACCGCAUAAGCGCACAGCACCGCAUGGUGCAGUGUGGAAAACUCCGGUGGUACAGGAUGGGCCCGCGUUGGAUUAGGUAGUUGGUGGGGUAAAGGCCUACCAAGCCGACGAUCCAUAGCCGACCUGAGAGGGUGGCCGGCCACAUUGGGACUGAGACACGGCCCAAACUCCUACGGGAGGCAGCAGUGGGGAAUAUUGCACAAUGGGCGGAAGCCUGAUGCAGCGACGCCGCGUGAGCGAAGAAGUAUUUCGGUAUGUAAAGCUCUAUCAGCAGGGAAGAAAAUGACGGUACCUGACUAAGAAGCUCCGGCUAAAUACGUGCCAGCAGCCGCGGUAAUACGUAUGGAGCAAGCGUUAUCCGGAUUUACUGGGUGUAAAGGGAGCGUAGACGGACUGGCAAGUCUGGUGUGAAAGGCUGGGGCUCAACCCCGGGACUGCAUUGGAAACUGCCUGUCUUGAGUGCCGGAGAGGUAAGCGGAAUUCCUAGUGUAGCGGUGAAAUGCGUAGAUAUUAGGAGGAACACCAGUGGCGAAGGCGGCUUACUGGACGGUAACUGACGUUGAGGCUCGAAAGCGUGGGGAGCAAACAGGAUUAGAUACCCUGGUAGUCC